UGAGCGAGAGCUGUAAUUUAGAAGCGUCUAAUUGUUACUUAGAAGGUUGUGGAAUUCAUUUGCUUAG
RNAcentral lists this transfer RNA (67 nucleotides) under Nemertopsis sp. WYS-2013. RNAcentral describes it as "tRNA-Asn". The record is from RNAcentral. Lineage: Eukaryota; Metazoa; Nemertea; Enopla; Monostilifera; Emplectonematidae.